UCCGGGGUAGCUCAAUGGCAGAGCAUUCGACUGUUAAUCGAAGGGUUGCGGGUUCGAGUCCCGCCCCCGGAGCC
RNAcentral lists this transfer RNA (74 nucleotides) under freshwater metagenome. Its description in RNAcentral is "tRNA-Asn". It matches the Rfam family "tRNA". From Rfam's summary of the family: Transfer RNA (tRNA) molecules are approximately 80 nucleotides in length. Their secondary structure includes four short double-helical elements and three loops (D, anti-codon, and T loops). The record is from RNAcentral.